UCGAGAAUCUUCCGCAAUGGGCGAAAGCCUGACGGAGCGACGCCGCGUGCGGGAUGAAGGCCCUUGGGUUGUAAACCGCUGUCAGGGGGGAUGAAAGCCGCAAGGCUUGACAGAGCCCCAGAGGAAGCACGGGCUAAGUUCGUGCCAGCAGCCGCGGUAAGACGAACUGUGCGAACGUUAUUCGGAAUCACUGGGCUUACAGGGUGCGUAGGCGGCUUGUUAAGUAGGGUGUGAAAUCCCCCGGCCCAACCGGGGAAUGGCGCUCUAAACUAGCAGGCUUGAGUGAGCUAGGGGUGCACGGAACUUCCAGUGGAGCGGUGAAAUGUGUUGAUAUUGGAAGGAACACCGGAGGCGAAAGCGGUGCACUGGGGCUUAACUGACGCUGAGGCACGAAAGCCAGGGGAGCGAACGGGAUUAGAUACCCCCGUAGUCC
This 433-nucleotide ribosomal RNA is filed under the name uncultured bacterium. Its description in RNAcentral is "bacterial SSU rRNA". It matches the Rfam family "Bacterial small subunit ribosomal RNA", at positions 355 to 796 of the family's 1533-position model. The record is from RNAcentral.